GCAACAUCUAACCUCACUCUGCUCAUUCUUCUCUGGCUUCAUCACCCCAUUCAAAGUAAGUUCUUUUACAGGAGGAUAGCCAGAGGAGAACAUGAGGCGAGAAACGAUGAAGGUGAAAUUCGAUGAACAGUCCAGCAACGAAAGAACCAGGGAAUGGAGAACUGUGGAAGGACAAGAAUCAACCAGCUGCAGCCAAUCCUGCCUGCCACACCCUGUGCACAUCCUUAACAAGAAAUGGUUGGUGAGAGAUUACAAUGGAGAAAGGAAGGACAUUUGAUUUGUUCCAACUGUCGAUCUGAAAUCUGACAUAGUUGAAAACUUGAGUCAUUGUCUCUGUAAGGGUUUGCACUUCCCAGAAAGAGCAACACAUCAUCAGCACAUAAACAUGUGUUGUGGAUUGUAUUUUCAACAGGACUUGUUGAUGGAACUGAAAGGAGCAGACAAUAUUAAACUUUGAAAGGCAAUAAGUCUCAGUGAGCAGUGACAGCUAAACACACACUACAAAAAGAUGAGCGAUGAGUAUAUCAAAUUAAAAUAUCUCAAGUAUUUGGAAUCAUUUUUAUUUCAUUACAUUGUGCCU
This is a long non-coding RNA of Gambusia affinis (western mosquitofish), 580 nucleotides long. RefSeq lists it as uncharacterized. The record is from RefSeq and is a predicted model, not a curated record. Lineage: Eukaryota; Metazoa; Chordata; Actinopteri; Cyprinodontiformes; Poeciliidae. The transcript has 3 exons.